CUGAUUGAGAUUUUAACACGAAGUGAGUGGCGAACGGGUGAGUAACACGUGGGUAACCUGCCCAGAAGUAGGGGAUAACACCUGGAAACAGAUGCUAAUACCGUAUAACAGAGAAAACCGCAUGGUUUUCUUUUAAAAGAUGGCUCUGCUAUCACUUCUGGAUGGACCCGCGGCGUAUUAGCUAGUUGGUGAGGUAAAGGCUCACCAAGGCAGUGAUACGUAGCCGACCUGAGAGGGUAAUCGGCCACAUUGGGACUGAGACACGGCCCAGACUCCUACGGGAGGCAGCAGUAGGGAAUCUUCCACAAUGGACGCAAGUCUGAUGGAGCAACGCCGCGUGAGUGAAGAAGGGUUUCGGCUCGUAAAGCUCUGUUGUUAAAGAAGAACGUGGGUAAGAGUAACUGUUUACCCAGUGACGGUAUUUAACCAGAAAGCCACGGCUAACUACGUGCCAGCAGCCGCGGUAAUACGUAGGUGGCAAGCGUUAUCCGGAUUUAUUGGGCGUAAAGCGAGCGCAGGCGGUCUUUUAAGUCUAAUGUGAAAGCCUUCGGCUCAACCGAAGAAGUGCAUUGGAAACUGGGAGACUUGAGUGCA
This 594-nucleotide ribosomal RNA is filed under the name Pediococcus pentosaceus. RNAcentral describes it as "bacterial SSU rRNA". It matches the Rfam family "Bacterial small subunit ribosomal RNA", at positions 70 to 650 of the family's 1533-position model. Lineage: Bacteria; Bacillati; Bacillota; Bacilli; Lactobacillales; Lactobacillaceae. The record is from RNAcentral.